ACAGCAGUCGCCGCGGUAAUACGAAGGGGGCUAGCGUUGUUCGGAAUUACUGGGCGUAAAGCGCACGUAGGCGGAUAUUUAAGUCAGGGGUGAAAUCCCAGAGCUCAACUCUGGAACUGCCUUUGAUACUGGGUAUCUUGAGUAUGGAAGAGGUGAGUGGAAUUCCGAGUGUAGAGGUGAAAUUCGUAGAUAUUCGGAGGAACACCAGUGGCGAAGGCGGCUCACUGGUCCAUUACUGACGCUGAGGUGCGAAAGCGUGGGGAGCAAACAGGAUUAGAUACCCGCGUAGUCCCUGUCUCUUAUAC
RNAcentral lists this ribosomal RNA (305 nucleotides) under uncultured bacterium. Its description in RNAcentral is "partial 16S ribosomal RNA". It matches the Rfam family "Bacterial small subunit ribosomal RNA", at positions 508 to 807 of the family's 1533-position model. The record is from RNAcentral.